GACGAACGCUGGCGGCAUGCCUAAUACAUGCAAGUUGAGCGCUGAAGGUUGGUACUUGUACCAACUGGAUGAGCAGCGAACGGGUGAGUAACGCGUGGGGAAUCUGCCUUUGAGCGGGGGACAACAAUUGGAAACGAAUGCUAAUACCGCAUAAAAACUUUAAACACAAGUUUUAAGUUUGAAAGAUGCAAUUGCAUCACUCAAAGAUGAUCCCGCGUUGUAUUAGCUAGUUGGUGAGGUAAAGGCCCACCAAGGCGAUGAUACAUAGCCGACCUGAGAGGGUGAUCGGCCACACUGGGACUGAGAAACGGCCCAAAAUCCCACGGGAGGCAGCAAUAGGGGAUCUUCGGCCAUGGACGAAAGGCUGGCCGAACAACGCCGCGUGAGUGAAGAAGGGUUUCGGAUCGUAAAAAUCUGUUGGUAGAGAAGAAAGUUGGUGAGAGUGGAAAGCUCAUCAAGUGACGGUAACUACCCAGAAAGCGACGGCUAACUACGUG
This 497-nucleotide ribosomal RNA is filed under the name uncultured bacterium. RNAcentral describes it as "partial 16S ribosomal RNA". It matches the Rfam family "Bacterial small subunit ribosomal RNA", at positions 28 to 507 of the family's 1533-position model. The record is from RNAcentral.